This 200-nucleotide ribosomal RNA is filed under the name uncultured bacterium. Its description in RNAcentral is "partial 16S ribosomal RNA". It matches the Rfam family "Bacterial small subunit ribosomal RNA", at positions 28 to 224 of the family's 1533-position model. The record is from RNAcentral.
GAUGAACGCUAGCGGCAGGCCUAAUACAUGCAAGUCGAGGGGCGGCACAGGUAGCAAUACUGGGUGGCGACCGGCAAACGGGUGCGGAACACGUACGCAACCUUCCUUUAAGUGGGGAAUAGCCCAGAGAAAUUUGGAUUAAUACCCCGGUAAUAUCAUUGAGAGGCAUCUUUUGAUGAUUAAAGCUGAGGCGCUUAAAG